RNAcentral lists this ribosomal RNA (499 nucleotides) under uncultured bacterium. RNAcentral's name for it is "partial 16S ribosomal RNA". It matches the Rfam family "Bacterial small subunit ribosomal RNA", at positions 30 to 523 of the family's 1533-position model. The record is from RNAcentral.
AUUGAACGCUGGCGGCAUGCCUUACACAUGCAAGUCGAACGGUAACAGGUCUUCGGAUGCUGACGAGUGGCGAACGGGUGAGUAAUACAUCGGAACGUGCCUAGUAGUGGGGGAUAACUACUCGAAAGAGUGGCUAAUACCGCAUGAGAUCUACGGAUGAAAGCAGGGGAUCGCAAGACCUUGUGCUACUAGAGCGGCCGAUGGCAGAAUGAGGUAGUUGGUGGGAUAAAAGCUUAACAAGCCGACGGUCUGUAGCUGGUCUGAGAGGACGAUCAGCCACACUGUGACUGAGAAACGGCACAGACUCCUACGGGGAGCAGCAGUGGGGAAUUUUGGACAAUGGGCGCAAGCCGGAUCCAGCAAUGCCGCGUGCAGGAUGAAGGCCUUCGGGUUGUAAACUGCUUUUGUACGGAACGAAAAGCCCCGGGUUAAUACCCUGGGGUCAUGACGGUACCGUAAGAAUAAGCACCGGCUAACUACGUGCCAGCAGCCGCCGUAA